GCGGCCUAUCAGCUUGUUGGUGAGGUAAUGGCUCACCAAGGCGACGACGGGUAGCCGGCCUGAGAGGGUGACCGGCCACACUGGGACUGAGACACGGCCCAGACUCCUACGGGAGGCAGCAGUGGGGAAUAUUGCACAAUGGGCGAAAGCCUGAUGCAGCGACGCCGCGUGAGGGAUGAAGGCCUUCGGGUUGUAAACCUCUUUCAGCAGGGAAGAAGCGAAAGUGACGGUACCUGCAGAAGAAGCACCGGCUAACUACGUGCCAGCAGCCGCGGUAAUACGUAGGGUGCGAGCGUUGUCCGGAAUUAUUGGGCGUAAAGAGCUUGUAGGCGGUUUGUCGCGUCUGCAGUGAAAAUCCGGGGCUCAACCCCGGACUUGCUGUGGGUACGGGCAGACUAGAGUAUGGUAGGGGAGACCGGAAUUCCUGGUGUAGCGGUGGAAUGCGCAGAUAUCAGGAGGAACACCGAUGGCGAAGGCAGGUCUCUGGGCCAUAACUGACGCUGAGAAGCGAAAGCAUGGGGAGCGAACAGGAUUAGAUACCCUGGUAGUCCAUGCCGUAAACGUUGGGCGCUAGGUGUGGGACUCAUUCCACGAGUUCCGUGCCGCAGCUAACGCAUUAAGCGCCCCGCCGCGUGGGGGAUACGGGCCGCAAAACUAAAAACUCAAAGGAUUUGACGGGGGCCCGCACAAGCGGGCGGAGCAUGCGGAUUAAUUCGAUGCAACGCGAAGAACCUUACCAAGGCUUGACAUAUACCGGAAACAUCCAGAGAUGGGUGCCCCGCAAGGUCGGUAUACAGGUGGUGCAUGGUUGUCGUCAGCUCGUGUCGUGAGAUGUUGGGUUAAGUCCCGCAACGAGCGCAACCCUCGUUCUAUGUUGCCAGCGCGUAAUGGCGGGGACUCAUAGGAGACUGCCGGGGUCAACUCGGAGGAAGGUGGGGAUGACGUCAAAUCAUCAUGCCCCUUAUGUCUUGGGCUUCACGCAUGCUACAAUGGCCGGUACAAAGGGCUGCGAUACCGCGAGGUGGAGCGAAUCCCAAAAAACCGGUCUCAGUUCGGAUUGGGGUCUGCAACUCGACCCCAUGAAGUCGGAGUCGCUAGUAAUCGCAGAUCAGCAACGCUGCGGUGAAUACGUUCCCGG
Molecule: ribosomal RNA, 1138 nt
Filed under: uncultured Nostocoides sp.
Lineage: Bacteria; Bacillati; Actinomycetota; Actinomycetes; Micrococcales; Intrasporangiaceae
Description: bacterial SSU rRNA
Rfam family: Bacterial small subunit ribosomal RNA
Source: RNAcentral